Molecule: long non-coding RNA, 493 nt
Filed under: Ricinus communis (castor bean)
Lineage: Eukaryota; Viridiplantae; Streptophyta; Magnoliopsida; Malpighiales; Euphorbiaceae
Description: long non-coding RNA (RCOM_LNC000840)
Source: RNAcentral
AAACAUUUUCCCAUUCCAUAGAAUAUUUUGUAGCAAUCAAUCUCCUGCACAAACAAAGAACAAUCUGUUAAACACACUCGCAUACAUAUAUAAAUACCAAUCUUCAAACACUCAUUAUUAUUAUCCUUUUAGGCCUAGGGUUCUCUCGAAAUCAAACCUGAACCAAGAAAAGCCACCCGUUGAUUUCUUUAUGAUAAAAUUUUCACCCUUUUUCAAAGAUUUUGAUUCCCAUCGGAAACCAAAGUUACCCAUCGCCAUCUCUUAUUAUCGUCAGAGCAUCUUUAUCAUCAUCUUUUUGCUAUUAAUUCUUGACCAAUCUUGCUCCAGUUCUUCUUCUUCUUCUAUUACAACCAACAACAGCAUCAUCAAGAAACACCAAAACCAAGGACAAGAAAAUCAAGAAACCAUCAUGAAGGUGCAUCCAAUGCCCAAGAAAAGAAACAACAUAACAAUCCAAUACUAUACCAACAACAUCAACAAUCGAAGGGACCCA